This 878-nucleotide ribosomal RNA is filed under the name uncultured Prevotella sp. RNAcentral describes it as "bacterial SSU rRNA". It matches the Rfam family "Bacterial small subunit ribosomal RNA". Lineage: Bacteria; Pseudomonadati; Bacteroidota; Bacteroidia; Bacteroidales; Prevotellaceae. The record is from RNAcentral.
AAUGAACGCUGGCGGCGUGCCUAAUACAUGCAAGUCGAACGAAGAUUAUUUAACGAGCUCUUCAAACUGAAUGGCGCAGGAGUGAGUAAUAUAUAGUUAAUCUGCCCCAUAGUGGAGGACAACAGUUAGAAAUGACUGCUAAUACUCCAUACUCCUUCUUAUCAUAAGUUAAGUCGGGAAAGUUUUUCGCUAUGAGAUGAGACUAUAUCGUAUCAGCUAGUUGGUGAGGUAAUGGCUCACCAGGGCUAUGACGCGUAACUGGUCUGAGAGGAUGAUCAGUCACAUUGGAACUGAGACACGGUCCAAACUCCUACGGGAGGCAGAAUUAUGGAAUAUUGCGCAAUGGGGGAAACCCUGACGCAGCAACGCCGCGUGGAGGAUGACACUUUUCGGAGCGUAAACUCCUUUUGUCAGGGAAGAAUAAUGACGGUACCUAACGAAUAAGCACCGGCUAACUCCGUGCCAGCAGCCGCGGUAAUACGGAGGGUGCAAGCGUUACUCGUCCUCACUGGGCGUAAAGGACUGGUCGCCGAUUAUCAAGUCUCUUUGUGAACUCUAUUGGCUUAACCACUAAACUGUUUUGGGAAACUGAUAAUCUACAGUACUCGAGAGGCGGAUGGAAUUCUUGGUGUAGGGGGUAAAAUCCGUACAGAUCAGAAGAAUACUUUUGCGAAGGCGAUCUGCCAAAAACUUAACUGACGCUCAUGCGUGAAAACGUGGGGAUCAACCGGACCAGAUCCUCGGUUUGCCUACGGGGGAAUUACCCAGUGGGGGUCGUUUUCUUGGGUGUCCCCCACUCUCACGGGGGCGCUUAUGGGGGGCCCCCUUUCCCUUUCUUUAUUUUCAUUUAAAAAAGCGAGGUCAAAAAAAGCUCUCCG